GGGGCUGACUAGUAUCGACAGGAAAUCGUCGAUAAGUCGGUGCAUGCGGAGGUGGUGGCGAGGCCUCCUAAAAAACGUCACACAACAUAAUGCUGAUAACAUCAGCUGGAACGAAAGAGCUGCUGGUCCCAUUGGGAUCCCCAGCUUGAACGUUCUUCCUAUCGCUGCCUAAUUUAGGUACAGCGACAUCUCAUGAUGAUUUAUCCUUGGAUCAUGUGGGAUGACAAACGCAAGGAUAGUCCCGAACUUUGCUUUUGAGGUUUUGGGAUGAAGUCUUGUCAAAAGCUCGUUUAGCGGGAUCUUGUCUUUGAGAGCUUGCUAAAUAAAAACAAAACAAAGAACAAGCAUGUAGUGCCACUUAUGGUCAUUUCGCUGGACGCCGGUGCAAUUCCGGCCAGCUCCAUUC
Molecule: transfer-messenger RNA, 406 nt
Filed under: Candidatus Abzuiibacterium crystallinum
Lineage: Bacteria; Pseudomonadati; Candidatus Omnitrophota
Description: Abzuiibacterium crystallinum Standard tmRNA
Rfam family: transfer-messenger RNA
About the family: Bacterial tmRNA, also known as 10Sa RNA or SsrA, is named for its dual tRNA and mRNA-like properties. Its role is to liberate the mRNA from a stalled ribosome. To accomplish this part of the tmRNA is used as a reading frame that ends in a translation stop signal.
Source: RNAcentral